CAAUCAAAAGAACCACUUCAAGCAAUACGUACCACAUACCAGAUUCCUUCUACUUCCUUUUCUAGCAAGAACACGCCCAGUCCAAGACGAAACCCAAAAAACCAGUAAAAGUCAACAACGACAGCAACUCCAAACGGCGUGAACAGUACCCCUCCUUUUGCGGAAUCACAACUUUUCACAUCUCCUUUCUCAAUGUCUUGAAAAGGAACGAUGUAUUCGAAUUUCAAAUUCGAAAAUUUCACCCUCUAUAUAAACUACCCCUACCCAUCGUUGAAGGAAGGGGCGAGCAUAGGGAGUUUUUGGAUCGGAAAUUGGACUUUUUUUAUGGAUUAAUUUGCCACUCUUGAAGAAACAGGGAAUUUUCAUUAAGAAAUAGGAAUGUCGAAUUGCUAAAAUAGCACUUUAGGUUUAAGAUUUUUCUCGAGGAAAACGUCCUUCUUUUUAUACUCCGGAGCAGUUCACCGGAACUCAUCUCGUUGCUUCAUAGUCAAGCUCGUUGAUUCCAAUCGCUUAAAAAGGAGCAAUCUAAGAAAACCUACAAAAAAGGGCAUGUGAAUACUUGAUAGUGGAUGCUCGAAACAUAUCUGCAGAAAGAAGCAAAACUUCAAAACAAUAAAAAGAAUAGACGGAGGAUGUGUUAGAUUUGGAGACAAUACCAAAGGAGAAGUUACCUGAGUCGGAACUAUUACACUCAGUUCAGCAUGCGAUUUAGUCAAAGUAUACUUAGUCGGAGGACUCCAACAUAAUCUACUCAUCAUGAGUCAACUGUGUGAUGUUAUAUUUCAAGUCAUAUUCAAUACAACCAAUUGCAUCAUUAAACAUCAUGAGAAAAGGCUGUCACUUAUAAGAGAUUGAGUAAACAAUAUUUAUAUCUUAAAUAAUGUUGAUUGUCCAUCUCUUACCUAUCUUACUGCAGUUGCAAGCGAUCCAUGGCUAUGCCAUCGAAAUCUUGGACACACAAGCAUGCACGCUCUUGAAAAA
This is a long non-coding RNA of Solanum lycopersicum (tomato), 981 nucleotides long. RefSeq lists it as uncharacterized. NCBI's taxonomy places the organism in Eukaryota, Viridiplantae, Streptophyta, Magnoliopsida, Solanales, Solanaceae. The record is from RefSeq and is a predicted model, not a curated record.